Molecule: transfer RNA, 68 nt
Filed under: Neostromboceros nipponicus
Lineage: Eukaryota; Metazoa; Arthropoda; Insecta; Hymenoptera; Tenthredinidae
Description: tRNA-Pro
Source: RNAcentral
CAGAAAGUAGUUUUAAAAAAAAAUAUUAAUUUUGGAGAUUAAUGAUGGGAAAUUUUUUCUUUUUCUGA